RNA transcript from Toxorhynchites rutilus septentrionalis, 1547 nucleotides. RefSeq lists it as uncharacterized. The transcript has 3 exons. Lineage: Eukaryota; Metazoa; Arthropoda; Insecta; Diptera; Culicidae. The record is from RefSeq and is a predicted model, not a curated record.
UGUUCGCCAAACUGGAACCUGGGGCACUAUUACCAUUGCUGGUCGGUGUUGAUGAGUUCGACAAAUCGCCAGAUGACGAUGUGAUGUUACGGGUUGGUGGAAGCUUUCCUGUGCUAGUUCGAGUUAUUGGUAGGACCUGGGCUGCAGUCAGUUUCUCCUGUUUUUCACCAUAAAGUUUGAUCUCCCAUAGCUCCAACUUGUCAAAGUUCAAUUUUAUAUUUCUAAAACAGAAACACAUCACUUGUUUUCAAUUUUCAUCGAAAUCACAACAAAUCAUGUAACGCAAUACAUGCACUGUAUGUCAAAAUGAAAAUGUUACAAAAGUAGGCCGGCUUCUAUUUUCCCACUCUGAUUUCGAUCCAAGUAGUCUACUUGGUAGGUGCACACAACAUUACUCGUCACUGCUGUUUGAAAUUGCAAUAGAGAAGCAAGAAGAAAUUUCACUCAGCACCAAGAUGAACCGAACGAACGUUACAUCCCGGAUUCCGACUGGCUUGAGGGUUCCGAGAGGCUAUCGGGCCACCCAAGCAAAUGGAGGUAGAGCGGAAUCGGGAGGGAAAGUUCGUUUUCCACCCAAGACAAUUCCAACCAAGAACGAGAUAUAUCCUGAAGAGGGCAUGAUCGAGGACGAAGAUUUUCCGCCGCUGUUCCAUGAUGACAUCGAGGAUACUGGAGAUGACGUGUACGACUGGGAGCCGAUAGACAUUUCCGAGGUCGACGAGAUAUAUUUUCGGAAGAUGAAGGCUGAAUCGGAGCUUCAAAAAAUGAUGGCGGAAAACACCAGAUUGCGGCAGGAGAAUCAACGGCUUAAAACAGCAGCGAAAGGGGUAAGACUUUUUAAGUAUUGUUGUUUUAAAAUGCUACUAGUUGUUGCAGGAGAAGUGGCGCAGUCGCUCUUUAUUUAAAUCUUUUAUUAUACACGUAAUUAGGAAGCGUUCAGUGUUUUUGUUUGUUAUCUUCAAAUUUUGUUAUUUCAAGUUGUUCCGUUGUAUUUAUUGCAUUUGUUCUGUUGUUGUCUUCAUUUGUUUUGUUGAGUUUAGUUGCGUUGUACUAUUCCGUGUUGUAGAAUUUAUUGUUAUGCUGUGAGUUUUGUUUGAUAUAUUUUUGAUGUUUUAGUUUUUCUGUAAUAUUUGGAUGUUUCUCAGUAGUAUUUAGAUUUAUUUUAUUUAUACCGUUAUUGUUUUCCGUAUUCUGUUGGAUUUUCUUAUGUUACUUUGAGUUUCAGAGUUGUUAUUUUUUUACACUACUGAUUUUUCUAUUAUUUGAUUGUUCUAUUGUUUUCCGCUGUAGAUAUUAUUAAUAUUUUUUUCUUUCUUACAUUGCAUCAAAUACAUGAGAGCUAUCGAGGGGAAUCUUCUGGCCUUGGCCUGACUUGCUAGCCUACAACACUGAGAAAUGGCUAUGAGUAGGUGACACAAGGAGUGACGUGAUAGAUCAAACCGAGGGAAUUCAUAGAGAUGGGGCCAAGUCACGAUUUAGCUUUAAUAUUUUUUUUAACAAUUUUUGUUGUAAAAUAAAAUAAAAUAAAUUAAUUUACAAUAAACUAA